This 496-nucleotide ribosomal RNA is filed under the name uncultured bacterium. Its description in RNAcentral is "partial 16S ribosomal RNA". It matches the Rfam family "Bacterial small subunit ribosomal RNA", at positions 30 to 523 of the family's 1533-position model. The record is from RNAcentral.
AUUGAACGCUGGCGGAAUGCUUUACACAUGCAAGUCGAACGGUAGAGGGGGCAACCCCUCGAGAGUGGCGAACGGGCGAGUAAUAUAACGGAACGUGCCCAGUCGUGGGGGAUAACGUAGCGAAAGUUACGCUAAUACCGCAUACGCACUCAGGAUGAAAGCGGGGGAUCGCAAGACCUCGCGCGACUGGAGCGGCCGAUAUCAGAUUAGGUAAUUGGUGGGGUAAAGGCUCAGCAAGCCAACGAUCUGUAGCUGGUCUGAGAGGACGACCAGCCACACUGGAACUGAGACACGGUCCAGACUCCUACGGGAGGCAGCAGUGGGGAAUUUUGGACAAUGGACGCAAGUCUGAUCCAGCCAUUCCGCGUGCAGGAUGAAGGCCCUCGGGUUGUAAACUGCUUUUGUACGGAACGAAAAGGUCUCUCUUAAUAGUGGGGGCUCAUGACGGUACCGUAAGAAUAAGCACCGGCUAACUACGUGCCAGCAGCCGCAGUAA